UCUGCGCUACAGGAGCCGAGCAGCACAACAAGGGUGUGGUGACUCGGGAGGGAGGAAUUUCCUCGGGACAGACUAAUGUUUAAACAGUUAUACAUAACAGGCGAGGAGGAGAGUUUUUGAGGACAUUACCAAAAGGUCAUUCACACGUGUAACUUUGAGAGGACUGCCUGAGCAUCAAUUGGUCAUUAUGGAUCAAUGAACAUAGAAAACAACAAAACAAGCUGGAGGCUGCGUUGAACUACUGAGUUAUCCAUCAAUUUUCCAGGGAAGUGUACUCAUGAGAGUGUAGGAGGACAAGAUGUCCACAAAUCACCCAUACUCCACUAAGGCAGCUAAAUUGCGAUUAUAAACACAACCCCAUCGCCCUGCUGCUCAGAUGAGUGAAGCUGAGAGGUCAAGAAGACGCAAGGGAAGGAGAGAGAUCGGGAGAUCAAAUGAGGGGAGAGGGACAUGAGGCUUCAGAAUUUUAGGAUUGGUUUAAAAACCGCCUUAUGUUUCUCCUACACACUCAGACAUUGUCUCUGCCACCCUGCUGCCACUGUAGCUGUAACAACCAUUAAGAAAUAAA
This is a long non-coding RNA of Micropterus dolomieu (smallmouth bass), 568 nucleotides long. RefSeq lists it as uncharacterized. Lineage: Eukaryota; Metazoa; Chordata; Actinopteri; Centrarchiformes; Centrarchidae. The record is from RefSeq and is a predicted model, not a curated record. The transcript is spliced from 4 exons.